AUUGAACGCUGGCGGCAGGCCUAACACAUGCAAGUCGAGCGGAUGAAGGGAGCUUGCUCCUGGAUUCAGCGGCGGACGGGUGAGUAAUGCCUAGGAAUCUGCCGGGUAGUGGGGGAUAACGUCCGGAAACGGGCGCUAAUACCGCAUACGUCCUGAGGGGGAAAGGGGGGGAUCUUCGGACCUCACGCUACCAGAUGAGCCUAGGUCGGAUUAGCUAGUUGGUGGGGUAAAGGCCUACCAAGGCGACGAUCCGUAACUGGUCUGAGAGGAUGAUCAGUCACACUGGAACUGAGACACGGUCCAGACUCCUACGGGAGGCAGCAGUGGGGAAUAUUGGACAAUGGGCGAAAGCCUGAUCCAGCCAUGCCGCGUGUGUGAAGAAGGUCUUCGGAUUGUAAAGCACUUUAAGUUGGGAGGAAGGGCAGUAAGUUAAUACCUUGCUGUUUUGACGUUACCAACAGAAUAAGCACCGGCUAACUUCGUG
This 484-nucleotide ribosomal RNA is filed under the name uncultured bacterium. RNAcentral's name for it is "partial 16S ribosomal RNA". It matches the Rfam family "Bacterial small subunit ribosomal RNA", at positions 30 to 507 of the family's 1533-position model. The record is from RNAcentral.